GUGCCUGGCUGGCUGAGGGAGCUACAGGACCUUGAACAGAGCAGUGCUAGCAAAGAUGGGGGAGGGGAGCAAGACGGCAUUCUGUGCUGGCUUCUGGGACUCAACCAGGACAACGCCCUGAGAUAAUGGUGAAGCGUAUAGCUACGUAAAGACUGAAUCCUUUAAGGAAUGAAGGGAUCCAUCCAUCUUGUCCAUGGUUUCGAUUCUUUAAAGGGAAGAUCUUCAGCCAUAGAUUGUAUCUCUUCAGGAAAUCCUGAGAAGUGAAGCCAUGACGGCCUUCAUAUAACUACAACUGGAGACAUCUAUUGGGAAGCUCUGUCGGCUGUGUCUAAGGAAGCUUGUAAGGCCAUCCUAGCCAGAAGGUGGGUGGUACUAUGGCAGAUGUCUGCUAGACAGCCUUAACUGGGUCCAUCAGAGCCUCAUUUAUGGGGAGUGCAAUUUUUGAUGAGGUUGAUGUUUGGAGUAUAUCCAGUAACUUAUGUUGAGACUCUAUAACUUCUUCCAAAGAUAUGUGUAGUGAGUCUGCAAUUCUCUCAAAUAGUUCUUGGAAUUAAUUAAAAUCAUUGGCUGUUGGUGGAGAAGGCAUGAUAGUAUUUCCCCCGGACAAGGCUGAUUGGUCGGGUGGCUUCCUGAUCCAUCCUCUCCCCCUGGUCCUCAAAAGUCUUCUCCUGAGGUUGCCUGUAUGUAACCCAUGGAUCCCAGUAAGGCCAUUGUUGUCAGAAUGGCAUGUGUGGCAUCCAUGUAUGUCUGUACCAUCUAUGUACAUAACCCUCAGGCUGAAAUCUGGACUUAUGAGAAAGAAGUAAAUGUCCUUUUCCUCAUCAUCGUCCUCCUCACUAGAUAAGGGAGAAGAUCUGGAUGGUGGUAUUGAAUGUGACAGUGCCGAGCUCACUGGGGAUGCGAUGUGUACCAGAGCAAUAUUGGUACCGAGGAGAUUCCGGUAUU
Long non-coding RNA from Mauremys mutica (yellowpond turtle), 945 nucleotides. RefSeq lists it as uncharacterized. The record is from RefSeq and is a predicted model, not a curated record. The transcript has 3 exons. Lineage: Eukaryota; Metazoa; Chordata; Testudines; Geoemydidae.